GCCCCACGGGGCGCAGCAGGCGCGAAACCUCCGCAAUGCAAGCAAGUGCGACGGGGGAACCCCAAGUGCCACUCUUAACGGGGUGGCUCUACGAAGUGUAAAAA
This 104-nucleotide ribosomal RNA is filed under the name uncultured archaeon. RNAcentral describes it as "partial 16S ribosomal RNA". It matches the Rfam family "Archaeal small subunit ribosomal RNA", at positions 319 to 425 of the family's 1478-position model. The record is from RNAcentral.